AGGGCGUACUAAUCUGCGAUAAGCGCCGGUAAGGUGAUAUGAACCGUUAUAACCGGCGAUACCCGAAUGGGGAAACCCAGUGUGAUUCGUCACACUAUCAUUAACUGAAUCCAUAGGUUAAUGAGGCGAACCGGGGGAACUGAAACAUCUAAGUACCCCGAGGAAAAGAAAUCAACCGAGAUUCCCCCAGUAGCGGCGAGCGAACGGGGAGGAGCCCAGAGCCUGAAUCAGCAUGUGUGUUAGUGGAAGCGUCUGGAAAGGCGCGCGAUACAGGGUGACAGCCCCGUACACAAAAGCGCAUGUGCUGUGAGCUCGAUGAGUAGGGCGGGACACGUGGUAUCCUGUCUGAAUAUGGGGGGACCAUCCUCCAAGGCUAAAUACUCCUGACUGACCGAUAGUGAACCAGUACCGUGAGGGAAAGGCGAAAAGAACCCCGGCGAGGGGAGUGAAAAAGAACCUGAAACCGUGUACGUACAAGCAGUGGGAGCCCCACCACCAAAGCAUUUGCUGUACCGC
This 516-nucleotide ribosomal RNA is filed under the name Salmonella enterica subsp. enterica serovar Enteritidis. RNAcentral describes it as "partial 23S ribosomal RNA". It matches the Rfam family "Bacterial large subunit ribosomal RNA", at positions 53 to 584 of the family's 2925-position model. The record is from RNAcentral. Lineage: Bacteria; Pseudomonadati; Pseudomonadota; Gammaproteobacteria; Enterobacterales; Enterobacteriaceae.